GUUUGCCUGCCUCCGGCAGUACGUGUACUAAAAUUGGAACGAUACAGAGAAGAUUGGCAUGGCCUCUUCGCAAGGAUGACACGUGAAUUCCCCGCGGUCGCGUGGAUCUUU
Lethenteron reissneri (Far Eastern brook lamprey) is the source of this 111-nucleotide small nuclear RNA. NCBI's taxonomy places the organism in Eukaryota, Metazoa, Chordata, Hyperoartia, Petromyzontiformes, Petromyzontidae. The record is from RefSeq and is a predicted model, not a curated record.